RNAcentral lists this ribosomal RNA (449 nucleotides) under uncultured bacterium. RNAcentral's name for it is "partial 16S ribosomal RNA". It matches the Rfam family "Bacterial small subunit ribosomal RNA", at positions 29 to 523 of the family's 1533-position model. The record is from RNAcentral.
AACGAACGCUGGCGGCAUGCCUAACACAUGCAAGUCGAACGAAGCCCUCGGGCUUAGUGGCGCACGGGUGCGUAACGCGUGGGAAUCUGCCCUUUGGAUCGGCAUAACAGUUGGAAACGACUGCUAAUACCGGAUGAUGACGAAAGUCCAAAGAUUUAUCGCCAGAGGAUGAGCCCGCGUAGGAUUAGCUAGUUGGUGUGGUAAAGGCGCACCAAGGCGACGAUCCUUAGCUGGUCUGAGAGGAUGAUCAGCCACACUGGGACUGAGACACGGCCCAGACUCCUACGGGAGGCAGCAGUGGGGAAUAUUGGACAAUGGGCGAAAGCCUGAUCCAGCAAUGCCGCGUGAGUGAUGAAGGCCCUAGGGUUGUAAAGCUCUUUUACCCGGGAUGAUAAUGACAGUACCGGGAGAAUAAGCCCCGGCUAACUCCGUGCCAGCCGCCGCCGUAA